UGCCUGGGCCAUGCCACCCUGAACGUGCCCCAUCUCCACUGAUCUCGAAGCUAAGCAGAGUUGGCCUGGUUAGUACUUGGAUGGGAUAUUAGAGGUGGCCAUCAGAACUGGAAC
This 114-nucleotide ribosomal RNA is filed under the name Castor canadensis (American beaver). Lineage: Eukaryota; Metazoa; Chordata; Mammalia; Rodentia; Castoridae. The record is from RNAcentral.